This 71-nucleotide transfer RNA is filed under the name Marmota monax (woodchuck). RNAcentral describes it as "tRNA.Ser". It matches the Rfam family "tRNA". Rfam says of the family: Transfer RNA (tRNA) molecules are approximately 80 nucleotides in length. Their secondary structure includes four short double-helical elements and three loops (D, anti-codon, and T loops). The record is from RNAcentral. Lineage: Eukaryota; Metazoa; Chordata; Mammalia; Rodentia; Sciuridae.
GGGGCUGUAGCUCAGUGGUAGAGCGCUUGCCUUGAAUGCAUGAGGCCCUGGGUUCGAUCCCCAGCACCACA